AGAGUGGGUAGUCCGCACGAGCGCACCUUACUUUUAGUUGCCAUCAUUUAGUUGGGCACUCUGAAAGAACUGCCAGUGAUAAGCUGGAGGAAGGUGGGGAUGACGUCAAGUCCUCAUGGCCCUUACGUGUUGGGCUACACACGUGCUACAAUGGCAUUUACAAUAGGAAGCAAGGCGGCGACGUCAAGCAAAUCCUAAAAGAAUGCCUCAGUUCGGAUUGCACUCUGCAACUCGAGUGCAUGAAGCUGGAAUUAUUAGUAAUCGUGGAUCAGCGUGCCACGGUGAAUACGUUCCCGGGUCUUGUACACACCGCCCGUCACACCAUGGGAGUUGGUUCUACCUUAAGGCAAAGCUUAAAACCUUUGACCACGGUAUAGUCAGCGACUGGGGUGAAGUCGUAACAAGGUAGCCGUAGGGGAACCUGCGGCUGGAUUACCUCCUUUCU
RNAcentral lists this ribosomal RNA (445 nucleotides) under uncultured Pelagibacterales bacterium. RNAcentral's name for it is "bacterial SSU rRNA". It matches the Rfam family "Bacterial small subunit ribosomal RNA", at positions 1073 to 1533 of the family's 1533-position model. Lineage: Bacteria; Pseudomonadati; Pseudomonadota; Alphaproteobacteria; Candidatus Pelagibacterales. The record is from RNAcentral.